UACGGAGGAUGCGAGCGUUAUCCGGAUUUAUUGGGUUUAAAGGGUGCGCAGGCGGCCUGUUAAGUCAGCGGUAAAAGCCCGGGGCUCAACCCCGGCGAGCCGUUGAAACUGGCGGGCUGGAGUUGGAGAGAAGUACGCGGAAUGCGCGGUGUAGCGGUGAAAUGCUUAGAUAUCGCGCAGAACCCCGAUUGCGAAGGCAGCCUGCCGCAGCGUUACUGACGCUGAAGCUCGAAAGCGCGGGUAUCGAACAGG
Molecule: ribosomal RNA, 252 nt
Filed under: uncultured Bacteroidales bacterium
Lineage: Bacteria; Pseudomonadati; Bacteroidota; Bacteroidia; Bacteroidales
Description: partial 16S ribosomal RNA
Rfam family: Bacterial small subunit ribosomal RNA
Source: RNAcentral